Molecule: long non-coding RNA, 942 nt
Filed under: Betta splendens (Siamese fighting fish)
Lineage: Eukaryota; Metazoa; Chordata; Actinopteri; Anabantiformes; Osphronemidae
Description: lncRNA (ENSBSLG00000003662.1)
Source: RNAcentral
GCUACAGCUUCUCGUUUUUUGUGAAAAAGAUGAUACAGUAACUUCACUACUGUAGAACUUAUUUAUCUUUCUCUGUGUAACAGCUAUUAGUGAAGUCCCAAGGUCUAUUUGGAAGCAGAAACACAACUGUCCUGGGCCUGACCGGAGGAGAGUUUGGCUUCGGCUGCUGCCCUCAGCACGUUGGCAGAUCCUCAGACGCCGUCGUCUCUCCCUCCAUCGUCUUCUCACAUGCGAGGCCGAGCCAAGACGUGCUUCUGUCAACCUCCACAGCUCCGUGCCAUCAGCUGUGGGCCUCCCACUCUGACUACAGCCGACAGGGCCUUCCUCCAUCCGUUUAGGCUCGUUGGACAUAGUCGUUGUGAGGUUUUGGGGCUCAGAUGGAAGACACAUAGCACAGAGGUGCUGAAGAAGACGCGUUGUAAUCACAAAGAUGGAGGGAUGAUGUCAAUCACAGCAUCUACAGCGCAUGGAGGCCUCAAUGCAGCCAGAAUUGAACGAUCCUCGGUGUCAGAACAGGAGCCACCCUGCUUCUGCUUAGUCUGGAAACCAUUUCCUUUGCAGUCCGAUGGUCCCGACGUUGAUCUUGAGGACAGUCACUGGUGGAGUUCGUAUAUUUAUCGAAGCGCCAUCUCUCAUCUGAAUCCACGCCGUUUUCUUCACAAAAUUCCCGCCAGCUUGUUCGACCGAUGUCAUAGGAAGAAACACGUCAAGUCUUUAACAGACUCUGCACUGGGGCAGAUGAAUGCUGAUGAGUUUUGCUGUGUUUGGCUACUUUAAUGAAAAACUUGAUUUCCCAGAACCCCCCUCUGUAUGUUUCUCCUCGCAGAUCUCUGCCCAGAGUCUCUGCGCCUCAGCCAGCGCCAGGAGCUGCCAUUUGGUUUUGUUUGUAGAGUGCUCAUGGCCAACUGAACCAACAAGUUGUCUGAUUAAAAUGAAAAUGGG